GACGAACGUUGGCGGCGUGCUUAACACAUGCAAGUCGAGCGGUAAGGCCCUUUCGGGGGUACACGAGCGGCGAACGGGUGAGUAACACGUGGGUGACCUGCCCUCAGCUCUGGGAUAAGCCUGGGAAACCGGGUCUAAUACCGGAUAUGACUCCAUGACGCAUGUUGUGGGGUGGAAAGCCUUGUGCGGCUGAGGAUGGGCCCGCGGCCUAUCAGCUUGUUGGUGGGGUGANGGCCUACCAAGGCGACGACGGGUAGCCGGCCU
Molecule: ribosomal RNA, 264 nt
Filed under: uncultured bacterium
Lineage: Bacteria
Description: partial 16S ribosomal RNA
Rfam family: Bacterial small subunit ribosomal RNA
Source: RNAcentral